GUAGGUGGCAAGCGUUGUCCGGAAUUAUUGGGCGUAAAGCGCGCGCAGGCGGUUCUUUAAGUCUGAUGUGAAAGCCCACGGCUCAACCGUGGAGGGUCAUUGGAAACUGGAGAACUUGAGUACAGGAGAGGAAAGCGGAAUUCCACGUGUAGCGGUGAAAUGCGUAGAGAUGUGGAGGAACACCAGUGGCGGAGGCGGCUUUCUGGUCUGUAACUGACGCUGAGGCGCGAAAGCGUGGGGAGCAAACAGGGAUUAGAUACCCUGGUAGUCCACGCCGUGAACGAUGAGUGCUAAGUGUUAGGGGGGUUUUCCGCCCCCCUUAGUGCUGCAGCUAACGCACUAAGCACUCCGCCUGGGAGUACGGCCGCUAGGCUG
This 375-nucleotide ribosomal RNA is filed under the name uncultured organism. Its description in RNAcentral is "partial 16S ribosomal RNA". It matches the Rfam family "Bacterial small subunit ribosomal RNA", at positions 527 to 896 of the family's 1533-position model. The record is from RNAcentral.